Molecule: unclassified non-coding RNA, 413 nt
Filed under: soil metagenome
Description: partial contains 5.8S ribosomal RNA, internal transcribed spacer 2, and large subunit ribosomal RNA
Rfam family: 5.8S ribosomal RNA (bases 1-120)
Source: RNAcentral
GAUGAAGAACGCAGCGAAAUGCGAUAAGUAAUGUGAAUUGCAGAAUUCAGUGAAUCAUCGAAUCUUUGAACGCACCUUGCGCUCUUUGGUAUUCCGAAGAGCAUGCCUGUUUGAGUGUCAUGAAAAUAUCAACCUUGACUUGGGUUUUGUGCUCUAGUCUCGGCUUGGAAUUGGGUGCUUGCCGCUUUUACGAGCGGCUCACCUUAAAUGUAUUAGCUGGAUCUGUCUUUGAGACUUGGUUUGACUUGGCGUAAUAAGUAUUUCGCUAAGGACAUUCUUCGGAGUGGCCUCGUUUCUAGGACGCUUGUCCGCUUUCCAAUACAAGUUCCACCUCGUGGACAUGACUUUUUAUUAUCUGGCCUCAAAUCAGGUAGGACUACCCGCUGAACUUAAGCAUAUCACUAAGCGGAGGA